UACGUAGGGUGCGAGCGUUGUCCGGAAUUAUUGGGCGUAAAGAGCUCGUAGGCGGUGUGUCGCGUCGGCCGUGAAAACCUGGGGCUUAACUCUGGGCGUGCGGUCGAUACGGGCAUCACUGGAGUUCGGCAGGGGAGACUGGAAUUCCUGGUGUAGCGGUGAAAUGCGCAGAUAUCAGGAGGAACACCGGUGGCGAAGGCGGGUCUCUGGGCCGUAACUGACGCUGAGGAGCGAAAGCGUGGGGAGCGAACAGG
Molecule: ribosomal RNA, 254 nt
Filed under: uncultured bacterium
Lineage: Bacteria
Description: partial 16S ribosomal RNA
Rfam family: Bacterial small subunit ribosomal RNA
Source: RNAcentral